Molecule: ribosomal RNA, 425 nt
Filed under: uncultured bacterium
Lineage: Bacteria
Description: partial 16S ribosomal RNA
Rfam family: Bacterial small subunit ribosomal RNA
Source: RNAcentral
GUGGGGAAUCUUAGACAAUGGGCGCAAGCCUGAUCUAGCCAUGCCGCGUGAUCGAUGAAGGCCUUAGGGUUGUAAAGAUCUUUCAGGUGGGAAGAUAAUGACUGUACCACCAGAAGAAGCCCCGGCUAACUCCGUGCCAGCAGCCGCGGUAAUACGGAGGGGGCUAGCGUUGUUCGGAAUUACUGGGCGUAAAGCGCACGUAGGCGGAUUGGAAAGUUGGGGGUGAAAUCCCGGGGCUCAACCCCGGAACUGCCUUCAAAACUCCCAGUCUUGAGUUCGAGAGAGGUGAGUGGAAUUCCGAGUGUAGAGGUGAAAUUCGUAGAUAUUCGGAGGAACACCAGUGGCGAAGGCGGCUCACUGGCUCGAUACUGACGCUGAGGUGCGAAAGCGUGGGGAGCAAACAGGAUUAGAUACCCUUGUAGUCC